RNAcentral lists this long non-coding RNA (2923 nucleotides) under Nicotiana tabacum (common tobacco). Its description in RNAcentral is "long non-coding RNA (NTAB_LNC018816)". Lineage: Eukaryota; Viridiplantae; Streptophyta; Magnoliopsida; Solanales; Solanaceae. The record is from RNAcentral.
ACUGAACGAAAAAACUGGGAAAAGCUGCGCAGCCUUUCACAAGACCCCACCCCUCCCUGAUCGUUCAUUUUCUUUCAGCAAAACAACAGCCCUUGAAACUUGAUUUUCUUCAACCAAGACACAAGAGAAGCCAAGAUCCGCCAGUAACCACCCCGAACGACUCCAUAUACUCACUCCAUCAUCCUCGUUGCCAGCUGCCCAUCAACGCCUAGCUCCCCAACCCAUCUCGGCAGCUUUGACCCGCCGGACAGACCCAAAAUCCAGCGCCCAGCCUUCAACCAGUCGUUGUCCGUCGCCAGCAACAGAAACACCACGCCAAACGACCACCCUCCAUAGCCACCCAUGAAACAGAACAACUAGUAAGUUUUAUCAACUCAAGCUCGUUUAGCAUCUCUUUUCGGUGAGCUUCGAGUUCGUCGGAGGUCGUUACCCGAGUUUUCGAUUCAGUCAUACGUCUAGGUACUAUCGUUGGUUUCUGGUUUGAGCUCCGUCCAUAGUUUAUCGGAUUGAGGUCUAUUGCUGAACAUUGUUAUUGAUUAAUUUAUAGUGAUCCUUCAUUGUGUAUUUUGAUAUAGAAUGACGUUUUUGCUCGAUUUCUAGUUUACACAAUGGCGUGUGUGUGCUGUUUUAGUUUGGUUCUAUUUUGUCGCAAUGUUAGUGACUACUUAUAAUGUUGUAGAAACGGGCAUUUAGGCUCAAUGAUUAUUGCCUAUCUUGAAAUGUAUAUUGCUAUACCAUUAUACCUAGAAUUUGAAAGUGAAGAUGGCUUGGUAAGUUUGGCUUUGAUACGGUCGUUUUCACGGAUGAGGUCUCAUUUGUGUUUGGGAGUGUCAAAGCAAGAAGGGACAUCAGAUGAUACUAUACAAGCUGUUGCUGAAGCUUUAAAAAUUUCUUCGUUUCUUAAGAUUUCGGAAAUCACAGAGUUUUCGAGGCCUGAGGAAGUUAUAGAGCAAAUAGAUGUCAGGACAAUUGUUGUAUCCCUAUUGGAAUAUAGUGUCAAGCUUGAAGAUGUGGAGUCCUUCUUUGGUCAGCAUGGCAUGGUUAAUAGUGUGAGACUGCCUCGUCAUGUAGCUGACAAAAGGAUGUUUUGUGGCACUGCUCUGGUUGAGUUCGCCAGUGAGGAAGUAUGCUUUAUUCUGUUUUUUUUACAAGUAAUUCAUAUCGUUAGUAUUCUUCUGGAUACGCUCUUAAUAUACCAUCGUGGCUAUGGGUACGGUUCCCGUGACAUAGUUAUGAUACCUAAUUUCCAAACUCGGGUGCGCAUUUAUGUGACCCAAAUUCAAAUUUUGACAACGUUAAAUAAAAUGUGUCGUGGACCGCGAGUGCAUUUAUGUGACGUAGUUCAAGACGCGUUUUAGAUAAUGUUGAAUCUUUCUCCUAAUAAAUAAUUAAACAAAAGCGGUUAAAAGUUAAAAAUUGCACAUAGGUUCAUAAUUAUUUAAAAUCAGAUAAUAAGCCAAUAAUAACAGUUGAGCGACCAUGCUAGAACCACAGAACUCGGGAAUGCCUAACACCUUCUCCCGGGUUAACAGAAUUCCUUACCUGGAUUUCUGUGUUCGUAGACUGUAAUACAGAGUUAAUAUUUUCCUCGAUUUGGGAUUUGAACCGGUGACUUAGGACACCAUAAAAUUCUCCCAUGUGACCACUCUGAAUUUCAAAUAAAUAAUCCUGUUUGGAUUGUCACUUAAAUUGGAAAAAACUCCCCUAUACACCCUUUCGGGGGUGUAGGUAAAAAGGAGGUGUGACAGCUCUGGCGACUCUACUGGGGAAAAGAACCUAGAACUUCUGGUUCAGGGUUCGAAAUUCGAGCUUAGAUGAAAUGUUAUAUUUGACUUUAUCUAUUAUCUGAUUUUAUUACAUGUUUGGGCCUAAUGUGCUAAAUGUUGCUUUUACCGCUUUGAUAUUAUCUGAACUGUAUAUAAACUAUUACGAAACCCUUCUCUUCUCAUCUUCAGAGAUGUGCUCGCUAGUCGAGACUCCCAAUUCUGUUAGUGUCAUACCUUGAAAUAAGAAAGAGGCUCAGACAAGUUACUAAGUCGGAUGUCCUUUUGGUUCCUGGUACGUAGCCCCCUCCUCGACUCGAGUUGUCCGCUCGGGUACACAAGUCUAGAACGAAUGCCAAGGUUUUGAACCUAGAAUAACUCAACUUCAUGUCGGAUCCCUAGUUGGAACGCUUGUUUGCAUCAUGUGCACUUGACUUAGGGGACUCAACACAGGGGUUGGGUCCGUCUAGGACAGGUAUACCCCAAAAAAAUAAAAGAUCAUCGUGAUGCAUCUUAUGUGCUACAUGCUGCAUUUAUUCAAGGGUAAAAGGGUCAUUUGGAGGACCAAUAUUAGUUGAGGGCAAAUGAAAAAAAAUAAAAAAAGAGAAGAAAAAUAGAGGGUGAAGUGUGAAGAUGAAGAAAGUGGGGCCCAGUUAUGAUUUUCUUUCACACUUUUUCAAGCAAAAAUUGAAAAUGAAACUUCAAAAAGAUUUUGCAAUUUUUAUCAUUUUUCAAAAAUAAAAAAAAAUCAAAAAAAGGGAAAAAGAAAAUCCAAAAAGAUUUUAUAUAUUUCAUCAUAUUUCGAAAAAUAAAGAGAAAAAAAUGUGUUUUCUAUGCGUCAGUUAUUUUUUUUUAAAUUAUUCUCGCCCGUAUCCAAUCUGCCCGAACUACGCAAACCUGAUUCUCGUCUUCCGGGGCGUGAUACGUAUGCAACUCACAUAGGGUCCAGUCUUCCUAGUAAAUCUUAGGUUCUUGGCUUUGCAGGGUGUUAGCCAAAUUUUGCACUUCUAGCGACCUUUUGGCCAAAUAAGCCAUUUUGCAAAAAUAGCCUCAAUCAUGUCUUGCAUGUGUCGCGGGGAAUGUUAUUGUCUCACAUAGUGUUGGUUUAAGUUUUCUCAUACAGGUGUGGAUCUAUUUACCGGAGUUUGAGCAUGACAGAU